GAUUCGUGGCCGCUGUUUCCCUUGUGCAACUGCUGCUGAUGCUUGGCCACCAAGGCUGCCGUGUUGCUAGCUCCCCCGGCGGCUGCUGCCUUCGCCUUGAGGAUCUGCUGGAGAUGUUGCUGGUGGGCCAGCUGCUGCUGCUGUUGCUGCAGAAUCUGCUGCUGCGUGGCAAUCAAUUUCUGGUUGGGAUUCGCCUGCUGUUGCAGUUGCUGCUGCUGCUGCAUCUGCUGCUGCUGAUGGUGAUGCACGUUGGGUAUGCGUCCCAGAACCUGUGGACUCAUCACUGA
Molecule: small RNA, 287 nt
Filed under: Drosophila guanche
Lineage: Eukaryota; Metazoa; Arthropoda; Insecta; Diptera; Drosophilidae
Source: RNAcentral